AAUAUAUUAAGAAGGAGUACCAUCGACAGAGGAUCAAAGGUACAGACCUCCUCGCCGCGAUCGUCAUAUCUCACCAGUUACGUAACCGUAAUUAACAAUAGAUAAGCUGUAAUCGGUAACCGCGCAUGCGCCAGUAUCUGUCAACAACCAAGCCACAACAAAUCACUCGGGGCAACAAGAAGCCAAGUUACGACUUUCGAGAUCGUGCUGAAAAUAUGGAUGACAUGACUGAUGCUAUCGACUUUUAUGAAUUAUAAGAUGAGUUAGAGGAUGAAAUUCUCAAAGAAUUGGAGGCAGCAAAUGAACUAGAAGACCAAGAAAAUGGUCCACCCGCAGAAGAUGAAGCAAGUAUUGAUUCGAAUGCUGUUGCUGCUACACCUAUGGUUCUCAAGAACAAGAAUAAAAGAAAACAAU
This 414-nucleotide long non-coding RNA is filed under the name Anneissia japonica. RNAcentral's name for it is "uncharacterized LOC117109204". The record is from RNAcentral. Lineage: Eukaryota; Metazoa; Echinodermata; Crinoidea; Comatulida; Comatulidae.